CAACAUGUUCGCUUGCAUCAGAAACAGAGAAAUAUGGGUAAGCAGACAUGGCUCUACCAGUUAACACUUAACACCACAAGCUUAUGUAGGAACAGGAAGCACCGAGAGCUUAGAUUCAGGCUACAGUAUGGGUUACAAAAUUUUCCAGCAGAUCCAGCUGUGAUGGAAGCUCUUUUACUGUGCUUGAGGAGACACUAGGGCACCAGCCAAAUGGAUGCGUUCAUCCACAGGUUCGCAAGGCUGAAAAUUUUGCAGCGACGGCGCCGACUAAGCAGGUUGAGCACGGUGAGUAGUUCUCGCCUCACCUCGCCGCAUCUACCAAUGUUGAUGCAGCCAGUUUGCUUGCACCCUGCGUUAGACCAUUCAUCGCCUGCUGCAUGCACUUCUUCUCUCCAUCAACCAACUGCCCUCCCGAUAUGAAGCUAAUUAAUCUCAGAAUUCCGAUGCUAUUAGGGUAGCUGCAGUAUGCAGGAUGUGUUUCGCUAUUUUGGAUAAGCAAAGCGCUGG
This 507-nucleotide long non-coding RNA is filed under the name Oryza brachyantha (malo sina). RNAcentral's name for it is "long non-coding RNA (OBRA_LNC001819)". The record is from RNAcentral. Lineage: Eukaryota; Viridiplantae; Streptophyta; Magnoliopsida; Poales; Poaceae.